GUAGGUUUCAACAUUGAAAUAAGGGGGGAGGGGAUUGAUUUAAAAAGUCUCAAUAUAUUUUGUGGACGAUUGUCUUAAAAAUUGAUAAGACUUAGUUAAAAGCAUCUCGAAGUUUUUUUGAAAUCACUUUGUGUGCAUGUGUAGUAGUCACUGUAGAUGAUACUAUUCGGGUUAUUGUUCACAUGUAGAAUAGUACAGUACUGCCAAGUUGACCAGGGGGGGGGGGCGGAGAUAUAAAAGAAAUGGGGGAGAGAUUAAAAAAAUAUCACUAUAUGUUUGGUAGACGAUUAUAUUAGAAAUUAAGAAAACUUAGAUGGCAGCAGCUCGAAGUUAUUUGAAAUCAUGUUAUGUGCGGCACAAUAGCUGUGGGCGGGGGGAG
Molecule: non-coding RNA, 379 nt
Organism: Paramuricea clavata
Lineage: Eukaryota; Metazoa; Cnidaria; Anthozoa; Malacalcyonacea; Plexauridae
Source: the annotation of a GenBank genome assembly